This 348-nucleotide ribosomal RNA is filed under the name Terebra argus. RNAcentral describes it as "partial 12S ribosomal RNA". Lineage: Eukaryota; Metazoa; Mollusca; Gastropoda; Neogastropoda; Terebridae. The record is from RNAcentral.
UACCAGAGUACUAUGAAUAUUGUAAUUUAAAACUCAAAGAACUUGGCGGUGUUUUAGACCAUUUAGGGGAACCUGUCUCGUAAUCGACAGUCCACGAUAUACCUGACCUUUUUUUGUUUUUCAGUUUGUAUACCGUUGUCGUCAGGUAACUUUUUAGAAAAUAGAAGUUGGCUUGAAAAAUAAGAUAAUUUAAUACGUCAAAUCAAGGUGCAGCUAAUAAAAAGGGGAGGAUGGGUUACAAUUAUGAAUUUAUAAUUACGAAUAAUCAUAUGUAAAUGUGAUUUGUGAAGGAGGACUUAAAAGUAAAUUAAAUUAUAAAAAUAAUUUGAAUGAGGCUCUGAAACGUGU